RNAcentral lists this ribosomal RNA (759 nucleotides) under Dietzia sp. RNAcentral describes it as "bacterial SSU rRNA". It matches the Rfam family "Bacterial small subunit ribosomal RNA", at positions 90 to 863 of the family's 1533-position model. Lineage: Bacteria; Bacillati; Actinomycetota; Actinomycetes; Mycobacteriales; Dietziaceae. The record is from RNAcentral.
CACGAGUGGCGAACGGGUGAGUAACACGUGGGUAAUCUGCCCUGCACUUCGGGAUAAGCCUGGGAAACUGGGUCUAAUACCGGAUAUGAACUCCUGCCGCAUGGUGGGGGUUGGAAAGUUUUUCGGUGCAGGAUGAGCCCGCGGCCUAUCAGCUUGUUGGUGGGGUAAUGGCCUACCAAGGCGACGACGGGUAGCCGGCCUGAGAGGGUGAUCGGCCACACUGGGACUGAGACACGGCCCAGACUCCUACGGGAGGCAGCAGUGGGGAAUAUUGCACAAUGGGCGAAAGCCUGAUGCAGCGACGCCGCGUGGGGGAUGACGGUCUUCGGAUUGUAAACCCCUUUCAGUAGGGACGAAGCGCAAGUGACGGUACCUGCAGAAGAAGCACCGGCUAACUACGUGCCAGCAGCCGCGGUAAUACGUAGGGUGCGAGCGUUGUCCGGAAUUACUGGGCGUAAAGAGCUCGUAGGCGGUUUGUCACGUCGUCUGUGAAAUCCCUCGGCUUAACCGGGGGCGUGCAGGCGAUACGGGCAGACUUGAGUACUACAGGGGAGACUGGAAUUCCUGGUGUAGCGGUGAAAUGCGCAGAUAUCAGGAGGAACACCGGUGGCGAAGGCGGGUCUCUGGGUAGUAACUGACGCUGAGGAGCGAAAGCAUGGGUAGCGAACAGGAUUAGAUACCCUGGUAGUCCAUGCCGUAAACGGUGGGCGCUAGGUGUGGGGUCCUUCCACGGACUCCGUGCCGUAGCUAACGCAUUAA